GAUGAACGCUGGCGGCGUGCCUAAUACAUGCAAGUCGAGCGAACAGACGAGGAGCUUGCUCCUCUGACGUUAGCGGCGGACGGGUGAGUAACACGUGGAUAACCUACCUAUAAGACUGGGAUAACUUCGGGAAACCGGCGCUAAUCCCGGAUAAUAUAUUGAACCGCAUGGUUCAAUAGUGAAAUACGGCUUUGCUGGCACUUAUAGAUGGAUCCGCGCCGCAUUAGCUAGUUGGUAAGGUAACGGCUUACCAAGGCAACGAUGCGUAGCCGACCGGCGAGGGUGAUCGGCCACACUGGAACUGAGACACGGUCCAUACUCCUACGGGAGGCAGCAGUAGGGAAUCUUCCGCAAUGGGCGAAAGCCUGACGGAGCAACGCCGCGUGAGUGAUGAAGGUCUUCGGAUCGUAAAACUCUGUUAUUAGGGAAGAACAAAUGUGUAAGUAACUAUGCACGUCUUGACGGUACCUAAUCAGAAAGCCACGGCUAACUACGUG
RNAcentral lists this ribosomal RNA (497 nucleotides) under uncultured bacterium. RNAcentral describes it as "partial 16S ribosomal RNA". It matches the Rfam family "Bacterial small subunit ribosomal RNA", at positions 28 to 507 of the family's 1533-position model. The record is from RNAcentral.